Molecule: non-coding RNA, 174 nt
Organism: Meleagris gallopavo (turkey)
Lineage: Eukaryota; Metazoa; Chordata; Aves; Galliformes; Phasianidae
Source: RefSeq, a predicted model, not a curated record
AAAAGUUACAGAAUAUCAUUAUAUUUUAGGUUUUACCUGUGCUCUCCAGAAAGAAAUUCUUUAUCAAGGAAAGCUGUUCCUUUCUGAAAACUGGAUUUGCUUCCAUUCCAAGGUUUUUGGUAAAGACACUAAGAUCAGCAUACCCGUGCUCUCAGUGACACUUCUGAAGAAAAC